This 23-nucleotide microRNA is filed under the name Gossypium raimondii (Peruvian cotton). RNAcentral's name for it is "gra-miR8708". Lineage: Eukaryota; Viridiplantae; Streptophyta; Magnoliopsida; Malvales; Malvaceae. The record is from miRBase by way of RNAcentral.
AGGAGGAGUUAUGGAUAGUUUUA